UUUAUUUAAUGAUAAAGGAUUUUGGAAAAUAAUGAUAUUUCUGUCCUAUAAGUGUUGUCUAAAGACUGGUGCCAGAAGACUCGGUAAGGCCAGAAACGCUAACGUUAAUAGUCUUGAUCAGGCGUAAAGGGUUCGUAGGCAUCUCUGUAUAAAUUUAAACCUUUUAUAAAAAGGAUAUAAAGCACCUAGGCUAAAAUAAAAGGUAAAAGUUUUAAUAGAAACAGAGAUAGAAUCUUAUCCGUGACAAAGAGAAAUGCCAGAAGUAAGGGUGAAAUCUAUAGAAUUCUGGUGGAAGACUCUGGGCGAAAGCUAUAUGUCUAGAAAAGAUUGACGCUAAAGAACGUAGGUUGGGUUAAGAAAAAAGGAUUAGAUACCCAAGUAUUCCCAUCUGUUAACGAUGAAUAGUAGUCCUUCAGUAAAUUUUCCACUAAAUAAAAGCAUAAAAUUUUCAUUUUAUUUAUCAAAUGCUAUUUUAUCUUUACCUAAUCUUUGUUAUUUCAGUACUUAUCGGGCAAAGCCUGCCCUUUCUGUAUAUUAUUUCUAAGUUUUUUUUGGCUGGCAAAGCCAGCCCAUCUUUCACAGUCAAUAAUAUUAGGAUAACAUUAAAGAGGAAGAUUUAGGUUUAGUGUUAAAUAUAUAAACUGUGAGGCGAAGCUAACGCAAUUACUGUUCCGCCUUGUAAGUACGACUGCAAAGUUGAAAACAAAAAAAUUAGUCGGUCUCGGAGCAACG
RNAcentral lists this ribosomal RNA (732 nucleotides) under Fibrodontia bambusicola. RNAcentral describes it as "Fibrodontia sp. JHD-2023a partial small subunit ribosomal RNA". It matches the Rfam family "Bacterial small subunit ribosomal RNA", at positions 434 to 930 of the family's 1533-position model. The record is from RNAcentral. Lineage: Eukaryota; Fungi; Basidiomycota; Agaricomycetes; Trechisporales; Hydnodontaceae.